AUGGAGUUUGGCUUGGACAAAUGUUCGACAGUGGCAUUGAAGAAGGGAAAAAUCAUUGAAAGUGAGGGCAUAAAUAUGCCCAAUGGCCAAACAAUAAAGUGUCACCAGCCAGAGGCCUAUAAAUAUCUGGGCAUAUUACAGCUGGACAACAUCAAGCAUGAACAUGUGAAGACUGUGGUCAGUAAAGAAUACACACAAAGGGUCAGAAAAAUUCUCAAAAGCAAGCUCAGUGGAGGCAACACCAUCAAAGCCAUAAACACCUGGGCCAUACCUGUCAUAAGAUAUACUGCUGGCAUCAUAAACUGGACACAGGUGGAACUGGACAAUUUGGACAGAAAAACAAUAAAACUCAUGACUAUUCAUCAUUCACUGCACCCUCGCAGUGAUGUUGACCGGCUGUAAUAUGCCCAGAUAUUUAUAGGCCUCUGGCUGGUGACACUUUAUUGUUUGGCCAUUAGGCAUAUUUAUGCCCUCACUUUCAAUGAUUUUUCCCUUCUUCAAUGCCACUGUCGAACAUUUGUCCAAGCCAAACUCCAUGCUGAUAUCAGUGCUAAAGAUUCAGACAGUGUUAGUCAGAGACUGGAUUUCAGUUUCCGUUUUUCCAUACAGCUUCAGGUCAUCCAUGUACAUCAGGUGCGAAAUUUUGUGAGAAUUCUUAGAUGUUUGAUAGCCGAGAUUUGUUUUUUGUAAGAUUGUUGACAGAGGGAUCAUGGCAAUAAUGAAAAGCAGAGGGGACAAUGAGUCUCCCUGGAAAAUUCCUCUCCUGAUGUUGACAAGUCCAUAGCUUUCAUUUCCAACAAACAGUUCAGUUUUCCAGUGCUCCAUCAUGUUUUCAAUGAAGGUGCCAACGUUUUUACUAAUCCCGAUGGCGUCCAGGCACUUGAUGAUCCAGCUGUGUGGGAGUGAGUCAAAGGCCUUUUUGUAGUCAAUCCACGUCAUGUGAAGAUUAGCUUUUCGGCUUUUACAGUUCUCCAGAAUCAUUUUGUCAAUCAAUAACUGGUCUUUUGUGCCCCUGCUUUUCCAUUUGUUGCCUUUCUGUUCAUCUGGCAAGAUGUUUUUUUCUUCAAGAUAGUCUUGAAUUCUGUCAGCUAUGAUGCCAGUCAGUAGUUUAAACAUAGUGGGCAGACAUGUUAUUGGCCUGUAGUUUCCUGGUGCUGCUCCUUUUGCUGGAUCCUUUUGUAUCAGGUAUGUUCUUCCAGUUGUUAGCCAUUCACUGAUACUUUCUGCAGCAUCUCAUUGAAUUGUUGGGCCAUUUUUCCAUGUAAACUAAUCAGAUGUUUGAGCCAAAAUCCAUGAAGUUGAUCACUACCAGGCGAUGUCCAGUUCUUGACUUUUUGCACUCGUUUGGUGAUCAUUUCAGUUGUUAUUUCCAUCUGUUCCAUUUUGUUCUGUGAGAAUUUUCCUUCAAACUCCUUUAUCCACCCAGCGUUUUUGUUGUAGUUCUUAUUAUUUUUCCAAAGCUCUUUCCAGAACUUUGUUGUUGCAGUUUUCUCUGGCUUUAUGGUUACUGUGUCUGUUGUUUGGUUCAGGCUCUGGUAGAACCGUCUUUGGUCUGAUUGAAACAGAUGAUUUUGUCUGUACUGGAUGAUUCUGGCUUCAUAUCUUUCAAUUUUUCUGGCUGUUGCUGUAAUUUGUUCUUUCACAAUUUCCAAAGGUUCUUCAAUUUUUCUGGUGUUCAGCCAGUACUUUCUGAUCAGGUAUUGCUUGAUUUUGUCAUUCUUCAAUUUCUUCUCUUUCAUAUUUUUCAGGUUACUUGCAUCUGAUCUAAGUUUCUUGAUUUUCAACUCUAGCCUGACCUUCCACUUUGGUUUUCCAGUCGAUUUUCUUUGGGGCUGCCUUGGUUGUAGGAGCCCAAGCUCUUCUGUUACUAUCACUGCUGUACUGUAGGCAUACUGGUUUGUUUGUUCAAUUGAUGUUAUCUGGACAGUGGAGAGUGCUGCAUUCACAUCUUUCAUGAGAGGCGUCAGGUGUCUCUUGGGCACUGUUUUUAGAGUUGGGAGCCGCUGUCUUAUUGCAUUUGCUGCAGCAUGAGCCAUGAUCUUAUCCUUGAGCUCUUGUUGUCUUGCUGUCAAGAUUCCUGGUGGUUCAACAGGUGUUUCAAGUGCUGGUUCAUGAAAUUCUUGCAAAAGCUCGACGUGGUGGGAGGGGCUUAGCCAUUCCGAGGAUGCUGAGGGCUGUGCUGGUGGUAGUGUAACUACCGGCAGGUCCAACCAAGCCAGAGAGGCCUCAGCGGAGGAAUGCAACCAAGUGCACCUAAACCAUUAGCAUUAUGGAGAAUCAAACCAAAACGAAGUCUAUACUGGCUCGGUCGUCGCCCAGGAUAAAAAGGACCACGGUGGAUGCUGCUGAUUCUGGACAUCCAUCGACAAGUGGGCUACGGAAUCAUCAAAACCCAAAUGAACAGUCACAGAAGCGGCAGAAAUAUACAAUGCCAGAAAACCGCACAAUUAUUAUUAUUAUUAUUAUUAUUAUUAUUAUUAUUAUUAAUACAAAAUGUCAAUUGAAAGCCCUUAUAGCCCUUUCAAAGAG
This 2529-nucleotide long non-coding RNA is filed under the name Anolis carolinensis (green anole). RNAcentral's name for it is "lncRNA (ENSACAG00000040768.1)". The record is from RNAcentral. Lineage: Eukaryota; Metazoa; Chordata; Lepidosauria; Squamata; Anolidae.